This 300-nucleotide ribosomal RNA is filed under the name uncultured Methanimicrococcus sp. RNAcentral's name for it is "bacterial SSU rRNA". It matches the Rfam family "Bacterial small subunit ribosomal RNA", at positions 496 to 795 of the family's 1533-position model. Lineage: Archaea; Methanobacteriati; Methanobacteriota; Methanomicrobia; Methanosarcinales; Methanosarcinaceae. The record is from RNAcentral.
GUUGACUUCGUGCCAUGAGGCGUGUAGAUAUGGUGGUUUCAAGUGUUAAUGUGAGUGCCGGGUUGGUAAUCGUGUGCGGUCGGUUAGUGAAUACAGAGGUUCGUGCCGCUGGCUCAACCUGGGAACUGCCUUUGUGACUGCAUAGCUAGAGUACGGCAGAGUGGGAUGGAAGUCCGCGUGUAGCAGUGAAAUGCGUAGAUAUGCGGAGGAACACCGAUGUCGAAGGCAAUCCCCUGGGCCUGUACUGACGCUCAUGCACGAAAGCGUUGGGAGCAAACAGGAUUAGAUACCCCUGUAGUC